AACCCUGAUCCAGCCAUGCCGCGUGUGUGAAGAAGGCCCUCGGGUUGUAAAGCACUUUCAGUGAGGAAGAACGCCUGGUGGUUAAUACCCAUCAGGAAAGACAUCACUCACAGAAGAAGCACCGGCUAACUCCGUGCCAGCAGCCGCGGUAAUACGGAGGGUGCGAGCGUUAAUCGGAAUUACUGGGCGUAAAGCGCGCGUAGGUGGCUUGAUAAGCCGGUUGUGAAAGCCCCGGGCUCAACCUGGGAACGGCAUCCGGAACUGUCAAGCUAGAGUGCAGGAGAGGAAGGUAGAAUUCCCGGUGUAGCGGUGAAAUGCGUAGAGAUCGGGAGNGNAAUACCAGUGGCGAAGGCGGCCUUCUGGACUGACACUGACACUGAGGUGCGAAAGCGUGGGUAGCAAACAGGAUUAGAUACCCUGGUAGUCCACGCCGUAAACGAUGUCGACCAGCCGUUGGGUGCCUAGCGCACUUUGUGGCGAAGUUAACGCGAUAAGUCGACCGCCUGGGGAGUACGGCCGCAAGNGUUAAAACUCAAAUGAAUUGACGGGGGCCCGCACAAGCGGUGGAGCAUGUGGUUUAAUUCGAUGCAACGCGAAGAACCUUACCUACUCUUGACAUCCUGCGAAUUUGGUAGAGAUACCUUAGUGCCUUCGGGAACGCAGAGACAGGUGCUGCAUGGCUGUCGUCAGCUCGUGUUGUGAAAUGUUGGGUUAAGUCCCGUAACGAGCGCAACCCUUGUCCUUAUUUGCCAGCGCGUAAUGGCGGGAACUCUAAGGAGACUGCCGGUGACAAACCGGAGGAAGGUGGGGACGACGUCAAGUCAUCAUGGCCCUUACGAGUAGGGCUACACACGUGCUACAAUGGUCGGUACAAA
RNAcentral lists this ribosomal RNA (875 nucleotides) under uncultured Halomonas sp. RNAcentral describes it as "bacterial SSU rRNA". It matches the Rfam family "Bacterial small subunit ribosomal RNA", at positions 379 to 1243 of the family's 1533-position model. Lineage: Bacteria; Pseudomonadati; Pseudomonadota; Gammaproteobacteria; Oceanospirillales; Halomonadaceae. The record is from RNAcentral.